Molecule: small RNA, 156 nt
Filed under: Citrobacter gillenii
Lineage: Bacteria; Pseudomonadati; Pseudomonadota; Gammaproteobacteria; Enterobacterales; Enterobacteriaceae
Description: Enterobacterial sRNA STnc430
Rfam family: Enterobacterial sRNA STnc430
Source: RNAcentral
AAUAAUGCAACAUCCGUAAAAUCUGAAAAUCACGGCGUUAAAUAUAACGUGAUAAUAUUAUUUUAGGAUUAAGCUCAAUUCAAUUUCAUGUCACGAAGAAGACAAGAUGAAUUAUCUUAUAAAAAAAAGCCGAUAAUAAUAUCGGCUUUUUUUAUA